CAAUAGCGUAUACUAAUGUUGUUGCAGUUAAAAAGCUCGUAGUUGAACUUCUGGUAGGAGUGUCCCGGCCUUUUUGUUUUUACAAAUUGUAUGCUGUGUGACAUCUCUGGCCAUCCUUCUUCUUUGUUUAAAGAAGAUCUUUCACUGUAAAAAAAUUAGGGUGUUCAAAGCAAAAGUUUCUUUGGAAUAUAUUAGUAUGGGAUGAUAAGAUAGGCUCUAGAUGCUAUUUUGUUGGUUUGCACAUUUAGAGAAUGAUUAACAGGGACAGUUGGGGGUAUUCGUAUUUACAUGUCAGAGGUGAAAUUCUUGGAUUUUGGAAAGACGAACUACUGCGAAAGCAUUUACCAAGGAUGUUUUCACUAA
RNAcentral lists this ribosomal RNA (363 nucleotides) under uncultured eukaryote. Its description in RNAcentral is "partial 18S ribosomal RNA". It matches the Rfam family "Eukaryotic small subunit ribosomal RNA", at positions 592 to 976 of the family's 1831-position model. The record is from RNAcentral.